Molecule: long non-coding RNA, 453 nt
Filed under: Fragaria vesca (wild strawberry)
Lineage: Eukaryota; Viridiplantae; Streptophyta; Magnoliopsida; Rosales; Rosaceae
Description: long non-coding RNA (FVES_LNC000597)
Source: RNAcentral
AAAGGAGCCAACAAUUCAGAGUGCUAAUGAUAAUGGAAAGAUUAAUGCUGAUUGUGAACUGUCGGGGAUAAUUAGCCAUCAAGAGGCAGGCACCGGACCCAUAUCCCAAACAAAGGAGCCAGAAGUUCGCGGUGCUAAUGAUAAUACAAACAUUAACGCUGAUUGUGAGGUGUCAAAGAGAAUUAGCCACCAAGAGGCAGGCACUGGACACAUAUCCCAAACAAAGGAGCCAGAAGUUUGCGGUGCUAAUGAUAAUGCAAACAUUAAUGCUGAUUGUGAGGUGUCGAAGAGAAUUAGCCACCAAGAGGCAGGCACCGGACACAUAUCCCAAACAAAGGAGCCAGAAGUUUGCGGUGCUAAUGAUAAUGCAAACAUUAAUGCUGAUUGUGAGGUGUCGAAGAGAAUUAGCCACCAUGAGGCAGGCUCCGGACACAUAUCCCAAACAAAGGAGCC